This 256-nucleotide ribosomal RNA is filed under the name uncultured bacterium. RNAcentral describes it as "partial 16S ribosomal RNA". It matches the Rfam family "Bacterial small subunit ribosomal RNA", at positions 526 to 779 of the family's 1533-position model. The record is from RNAcentral.
CGUAGGGUGCGAGCGUUGUCCGGAAUUACUGGGCGUAAAGGGCUCGUAGGUGGUUUGUCGCGUCGUCUGUGAAAUUCUGGGGCUUAACUCCGGGCGUGCAGGCGAUACGGGCAUAACUUGAGUGCUGUAGGGGUAACUGGAAUUCCUGGUGUAGCGGUGAAAUGCGCAGAUAUCAGGAGGAACACCGAUGGCGAAGGCAGGUUACUGGGCAGUUACUGACGCUGAGGAGCGAAAGCAUGGGGUAGCGAACAGGAUU